AUGGAGCCGCGCAUCGGCAACAAGUUCCGCGUCGGCCGCAAGCUCGGGAGCGGCUCCUUCGGGGAGAUCUACCUCGGCACCAACGUGCAGACCAACGAGGAGGUCGCGAUCAAGCUCGAAAAUGUCAAGACAAAGCAUCCGCAGCUGCUCUAUGAGUCAAAGCUGUACAGAAUACUUCAAGGAGGAACUGGAAUCCCAAACGUCAAGUGGUUUGGUGUGGAGGGUGAUUACAAUGUUUUGGUGAUGGACUUGCUGGGCCCGAGCCUUGAGGAUCUCUUCAGUUUUUGCAACAGGAAGCUGUCUCUAAAAACUGUUUUGAUGCUUGCUGAUCAAAUGAUCAAUCGUGUCGAAUUCGUCCAUUCCAAGUCUUUCUUGCAUAGAGAUAUCAAGCCGGACAAUUUUCUCAUGGGUCUUGGGAAAAGGGCAAAUCAGGUUUAUUGUAUAGAUUUUGGGCUUGCAAAGAAGUAUAGGGAUACAUCGACACACCAGCACAUUCCAUAUAGAGAGAACAAGAACUUGACAGGAACAGCAAGAUAUGCGAGUGUAAACACUCAUCUUGGAAUUGAACAAAGCAGGAGGGAUGACAUGGAAUCUCUUGGAUAUGUUCUGAUGUACUUCUUAAGAGGAAGUCUUCCAUGGCAGGGUCUGAAAGCUGGGAACAAGAAACAGAAGUAUGAGAAGAUCAGCGAAAGGAAAAUUGCUACUUCAACUGAGGCCCUCUGUCGUGGAUAUCCUACUGAAUUUGCAUCUUAUUUCCAUUACUGCCGCUCACUGCGCUUUGAAGAUAUGCCAGAUUAUCAGUAUCUCAAGAGAUUGUUCAGAGACCUUUUUAUUCGAGAGGGGUUUCAAUUUGAUUAUGUUUUUGAUUGGACGAUUCUCAAGUAUCAACAGUCACAGAUGACCAGUGCUCCACCGCGCGCCAUGGCCGCUGCAGCAGGACAAAGCUCUGGGAUGGCUCCCAUGGCAAAUAGGCAGUCAGCCACUGAAGAAGGGAGGAGGAGCGGGUGGUCAGAUAUGGAUGGCAUGCGGCGCCAGGUUCCACCUCCAGCUAUAAAUGCAGGCAGCCUGGCCAAGCAGAAGUCGCCUAUCAGACAUGACCAAUCCACCUCAAAAGAUGCUAUGUUCUCCAGUUCGACUUUGUUGGGACGGUCAAGCGGGUCCUCAAGGCGACCUGCUGUCUCUAGCAGCCGGGAGCCGAGCACGGACGCGGAGCAGACGCGCAGCCGCACGACGGACGCGAGCCCGGGGGCGUUCCAGCGGUCGUCGGCCCCGCGGUGGAGCCCGCAGGUGGGCGACUCGUCGGACACGAGGGGGCGGUCGUCCUCGGGCAGGCACCAGUCGUCGAGCGCCAAGAACUACGAGUCCACGGUGCGGGGCAUCCAGGGCCUCAACUUCGACGGCGACGACACCAGGAACCACUACUAG
RNAcentral lists this ribosomal RNA (1425 nucleotides) under Triticum aestivum (bread wheat). RNAcentral describes it as "partial small subunit ribosomal RNA". Lineage: Eukaryota; Viridiplantae; Streptophyta; Magnoliopsida; Poales; Poaceae. The record is from RNAcentral.